RNAcentral lists this ribosomal RNA (541 nucleotides) under uncultured bacterium. Its description in RNAcentral is "bacterial SSU rRNA". It matches the Rfam family "Bacterial small subunit ribosomal RNA", at positions 9 to 795 of the family's 1533-position model. The record is from RNAcentral.
GAGUUUGAUCCUGGCUCAAAUUGAACGCUGGCGGCAGGCCUAACACAUGCAAGUCGAGCGCGAAAGCUCUUCGGAGUGAGUAGAGCGGCGGACGGGUGAGUAACGCGUAGGAAUCUACCCAGUAGUGGGGGACAACUUGGGGAAACUCAAGCUAAUACCGCAUACGCCCUAUGGGGGAAAGCGGGGGACCUUCGGGCCUCGUGCUAUUGGAGCUGUGCCGUUACCUUGAGAAGAAGCACCGGCUAACUCCGUGCCAGCAGCCGCGGUAAUACGGAGGGUGCGAGCGUUAAUCGGAAUUACUGGGCGUAAAGCGCGCGUAGGCGGUUUGUUAAGUCGGAUGUGAAAGCCCCGGGCUCAACCUGGGAAUUGCACCCGAUACUGGCCGACUGGAGUGCGAGAGAGGGAGGUAGAAUUCCACGUGUAGCGGUGAAAUGCGUAGAUAUGUGGAGGAAUACCGGUGGCGAAGGCGGCCUCCUGGCUCGACCCUGACGCUGAGGUGCGAAAGCGCGGGGAGCAAACAGGAUUAGAUACCCUGGUAGUC